UUAAGCGACUAAGCGUACACGGUGGAUGCCCUGGCAGUCAGAGGCGAUGAAGGACGUGCUAAUCUGCGAAAAGCGUCGGUAAGGUGAUAUGAACCGUUAUAGCCGGCGAUGUCCGAAUGGGGAAACCCAGUGCAAUUCGUUGCACUAUCGUUAACUGAAUACAUAGGUUAACGAGGCGAACCGGGGGAACUGAAACAUCUAAGUACCCCGAGGAAAAGAAAUCAACCGAGAUUCCCCCAGUAGCGGCGAGCGAACGGGGAGCAGCCCAGAGUCUGAAUCAGCUUGUGUGUUAGUGGAACGGUCUGGAAAGUCCGACGGUACAGGGUGAUAGUCCCGUACACCAAAAUGCACAGGUUGUGAACUCGAAGAGUAGGGCGGGACACGUGGUAUCCUGUCUGAAUAUGGGGGGACCAUCCUCCAAGGCUAAAUACUCCUGACUGACCGAUAGUGAACCAGUACCGUGAGGGAAAGGCGAAAAGAACCCCGGCGAGGGGAGUGAAAAAGAACCUGAAACCGUGUACGUACAAGCAGUGGGAGCACCUUCGGGUGUGACUGCGUACCUUUUGUAUAAUGGGUCAGCGACUUAUAUUCUGUAGCAAGGUUAACCGUAUAGGGGAGCCGCAGGGAAACCGAGUCUUAACUGGGCGUUAAGUUGCAGGGUAUAGACCCGAAACCCGGUGAUCUAGCCAUGGGCAGGUUGAAGGUUGGGUAACACUAACUGGAGGACCGAACCGACUAAUGUUGAAAAAUUAGCGGAUGACUUGUGGCUGGGGGUGAAAGGCCAAUCAAACCGGGAGAUAGCUGGUUCUCCCCGAAAGCUAUUUAGGUAGCGCCUCGUGAAUUCAUCUUCGGGGGUAGAGCACUGUUUCGGCUAGGGGGUCAUCCCGACUUACCAACCCGAUGCAAACUACGAAUACCGAAGAAUGUUAUCACGGGAGACACACGGCGGGUGCUAACGUCCGUCGUGAAGAGGGAAACAACCCAGACCGCCAGCUAAGGUCCCAAAGUCAUGGUUAAGUGGGAAACGAUGUGGGAAGGCACAGACAGCCAGGAUGUUGGCUUAGAAGCAGCCAUCAUUUAAAGAAAGCGUAAUAGCUCACUGGUCGAGUCGGCCUGCGCGGAAGAUGUAACGGGGCUAAACCAUGCACCGAAGCUGCGGCAGCGACACUAUGUGUUGUUGGGUAGGGGAGCGUUCUGUAAGCCUGCGAAGGUGUGCUGUGAGGGUUGCUGGAGGUAUCAGAAGUGCGAAUGCUGACAUAAGUAACGAUAAAGCGGGUGAAAAGCCCGCUCGCCGGAAGACCAAGGGUUCCUGUCCAACGUUAAUCGGGGCAGGGUGAGUCGACCCCUAAGGCGAGGCCGAAAGGCGUAGUCGAUGGGAAACAGGUUAAUAUUCCUGUACUUGGUGUUACUGCGAAGGGGGGACGGAGAAGGCUAUGUUAGCCGGGCGACGGUUGUCCCGGUUUAAGCAUGUAGGCUGGUUGUCCAGGCAAAUCCGGAUAAUCAAGGCUGAGGUGUGAUGACGAGGCACUACGGUGCUGAAGUAACAAAUGCCCUGCUUCCAGGAAAAGCCUCUAAGCAUCAGGUAACAUUAAAUCGUACCCCAAACCGACACAGGUGGUCAGGUAGAGAAUACCAAGGCGCUUGAGAGAACUCGGGUGAAGGAACUAGGCAAAAUGGUGCCGUAACUUCGGGAGAAGGCACGCUGGUGUGUAGGUGAAGCCCCUGCGGGUGGAGCUGAGACCAGUCGAAGAUACCAGCUGGCUGCAACUGUUUAUUAAAAACACAGCACUGUGCAAACACGAAAGUGGACGUAUACGGUGUGACGCCUGCCCGGUGCCGGAAGGUUAAUUGAUGGGGUUAUCCGUAAGGAGAAGCUCUUGAUCGAAGCCCCGGUAAACGGCGGCCGUAACUAUAACGGUCCUAAGGUAGCGAAAUUCCUUGUCGGGUAAGUUCCGACCUGCACGAAUGGCGUAAUGAUGGCCAGGCUGUCUCCACCCGAGACUCAGUGAAAUUGAACUCGCUGUGAAGAUGCAGUGUACCCGCGGCAAGACGGAAAGACCCCGUGAACCUUUACUAUAGCUUGACACUGAACAUUGAGCCUUGAUGUGUAGGAUAGGUGGGAGGCUUUGAAGCGUGGACGCCAGUCUGCGUGGAGCCAACCUUGAAAUACCACCCUUUAAUGUUUGAUGUUCUAACGUUGGCCCCUUACCGGGGUUGCGGACAGUGUCUGGUGGGUAGUUUGACUGGGGCGGUCUCCUCCCAAAGCGUAACGGAGGAGCACGAAGGUUAGCUAAUCCUGGUCGGACAUCAGGAGGUUAGUGCAAUGGCAUAAGCUAGCUUGACUGCGAGCGUGACGGCGCGAGCAGGUGCGAAAGCAGGUCAUAGUGAUCCGGUGGUUCUGAAUGGAAGGGCCAUCGCUCAACGGAUAAAAGGUACUCCGGGGAUAACAGGCUGAUACCGCCCAAGAGUUCAUAUCGACGGCGGUGUUUGGCACCUCGAUGUCGGCUCAUCACAUCCUGGGGCUGAAGUAGGUCCCAAGGGUAUGGCUGUUCGCCAUUUAAAGUGGUACGCGAGCUGGGUUUAGAACGUCGUGAGACAGUUCGGUCCCUAUCUGCCGUGGGCGCUGGAGAAUUGAGGGGGGCUGCUCCUAGUACGAGAGGACCGGAGUGGACGCAUCACUGGUGUUCGGGUUGUCAUGCCAAUGGCACUGCCCGGUAGCUAAAUGCGGAAGAGAUAAGUGCUGAAAGCAUCUAAGCACGAAACUUGCCCCGAGAUGAGUUCUCCCUGAGACUUUAAGUCUCCUGAAGGAACGUUAAAGACGAUGACGUUGAUAGGCCGGGUGUGUAAGCGCAGCGAUGCGUUGAGCUAACCGGUACUAAUGAACCGUGAGGCUUAACCUU
Molecule: ribosomal RNA, 2900 nt
Filed under: Klebsiella pneumoniae
Lineage: Bacteria; Pseudomonadati; Pseudomonadota; Gammaproteobacteria; Enterobacterales; Enterobacteriaceae
Description: bacterial LSU rRNA
Rfam family: Bacterial large subunit ribosomal RNA
Source: RNAcentral